UGAAAUCUGGCCGUUCUGCGGUCCGAGUUGUAAUUUGUAGAGGAUGCUUCGGGUGCGGCGCCGGUCUAAGUUCCUUGGAACAGGACGUCAUAGAGGGUGAGAAUCCCGUAUGUGACCGGUGACCUAGCCCGUGUGAAGCUCCUUCGACGAGUCGAGUUGUUUGGGAAUGCAGCUCUAAAUGGGUGGUAAAUUUCAUCUAAAGCUAAAUACCGGCCAGAGACCGAUAGCGCACAAGUAGAGUGAUCGAAAGAUGAAAAGCACUUUGGAAAGAGAGUUAAAAAGUACGUGAAAUUGUUGAAAGGGAAGCGCUUGCAACCAGACUUGCUCGCGGGUGAUCAGCCGUCCUUCUGGGCGGUGCACUCGCUCGCGAUCAGGCCAGCAUCGGUUCAGGCGGCCGGAUAAAGGCCCCGGGAAUGUGGCUCCCCUCGGGGAGUGUUAUAGCCCGGGGUGCAAUGCGGCCAGCCUGGACCGAGGACCGCGCUUCGGCUAGGAUGCUGGCGUAAUGGUUGUAAGCGACCCGUCUUGAAACACGGACCAAGGAGUCUAACAUCUAUGCGAGUGUUUGGGUGUCAAACCCAUGCGCGUAAUGAAAGUGAACGGAGGUGGGAACCCUUAAGGGUGCACCAUCGACCGAUCCUGAUGUCUUCGGAUGGAUUUGAGUAAGAGCAUAGCUGUUGGGACCCGAAAGAUGGUGAACUAUGCCUGAAUAGGGUGAAGCCAGAGGAAACUCUGGUGGAGGCUCGCAGCGGUUCUGACGUGCAAAUCGAUCGUCAAAUUUGGGUAUAGGGGCGAAAGACUAAUCGAACCAUCU
RNAcentral lists this ribosomal RNA (811 nucleotides) under Umbilicaria polyrhizos. RNAcentral's name for it is "LSU rRNA". It matches the Rfam family "Eukaryotic large subunit ribosomal RNA", at positions 116 to 945 of the family's 3401-position model. Lineage: Eukaryota; Fungi; Ascomycota; Lecanoromycetes; Umbilicariales; Umbilicariaceae. The record is from RNAcentral.